GUGACAUAGACGCACAGACGGAGCC
Molecule: non-coding RNA, 25 nt
Filed under: Cricetulus griseus (Chinese hamster)
Lineage: Eukaryota; Metazoa; Chordata; Mammalia; Rodentia; Cricetidae
Source: RNAcentral